Long non-coding RNA from Brassica rapa (field mustard), 1576 nucleotides. RefSeq lists it as uncharacterized. NCBI's taxonomy places the organism in Eukaryota, Viridiplantae, Streptophyta, Magnoliopsida, Brassicales, Brassicaceae. The record is from RefSeq and is a predicted model, not a curated record.
UGUUGAUUUAACUGAUUUUGAUGGAUACAAUCACAUGAUCCUUGAACUAGAAAAACUCUUUAAUAUCGAAGGCAAGUUGCAUAUGCACAGUCAAUGGAAACUAACCUUUAAAGUUCAUGAAGGAGAUAUGAUGCUUGUUGGAGACGAUUCAUGGCUGAAAUUUUGCAACACCGUGAAGGAAAUAUUCAUAUGUUCAAAAUAAGAUGCCAUAAAAUGAAAUUUGAGAACCAAUUCUCUAAAGGUGACUCAGCAUUUACAAAAAUAAUUUCACCGUCCGAUGUCGAGACAGUCAAAAAGGGGUUUUGUUACUUUUAAUGCGUUUUUAUAUAAUACUAGGGUUUGAUCUCUGUUCACCCAGAUAUUUUACUUUUAUUUAACAUUUGUGUUUAACUUGAAGAGUUUGGUUUUAUAUUAUGUGUGAUAUUUAUUAUUGUGAUUGCUCUUCUUUACUUUUAUCAACUCUUUUCAUUGAACUUAUUUGUUAUAAGGAGAUUAAGACUCAGUUUUGUUGUGUUUACUAAAUUGCCUUAUACAAUUACUGAGAUAGUUUGAAUGGGACUAUGUUCUGUUUUUAUUUUGGCGAUAGAACUUUUAAUCAUUUUCUUAUUUUAAAUCAUCUAGUUUCAUGUCUGCUCUUAUUUGUUUUUGGUAAGUUGUUUUAUAUUGCAUUCUUUCGAAUUGUGCAACUAUAUAUUUUUAUUUCCAUAUCAAUAUUGGAAUUAUGGUUGAGUUUUUUAAAAAAAAAUUAUGUAUGUUACCUUACAAUUUAUUUCUAUACAAUAACUGUUGAUCUCUUAUUUCUGUCAUGUAAACAAACUUUUAGUUUGUUUGUAGUACUAACAUAUGGUUAUUAACAUUUACCAACUAAGCUAAUGGAGAUUUUAGUCAAAAAUAGUUGAAAUAUUACAUAUUAUUUUCAAGGCUGGAAGCACAUGCUACCCAGCUUCUAUCCAGGGCCGACACUGCUUACAUCGUGAUGAAAAUCUUGUGUAGGUUUAUUCUCUAUUAAUCUAUGUAAUUGUUAAUAAAUCAUUUCUCUAAGAUUCGAAUCCAAAAUAUUGAAACGUAAAAAAAAUUAAUGACUUCAUAACUACUGGAGUAAAAAGACUUCCAGUAGAUAUAGGUUGCGGAUACUGAAACUAGAAAUGUUCAACGUAAUUUGGUUCUCCCAUGUGAUUGAGGCCAUCUGAUUGAGAGACUGGUUAGAUAAAAACUGUUAUCUUUGGUACAGUCAAUGAACUUAAUCGAUUUUUUUUUCUUGAUCUGAGUAGGAACAAGAUCGAAGAUAUUUCUAAAUACAUGAACGUUUAAGUGGAAGAGUUGUGUAAGAGAGUUGACGUGCUCACCAGGCUUCACUAUGCCUCAUCAAAAUCAAUGCCAUAAGCUCUGUUCUUUUUUUUUUAAUUUAUGCUUUCUUGAGUUUAAAGUCUUUUGAUUUGUUAGCAUCAUCUUCUGAAUGGAUUUAGGUAUUGGCUUUUGUAAUAACUUGGCUAUGUUGUUUUGUUUCUUAAUCAAACCGACUCUGUUUUUAGUCCUUUACAUAGAGAAUCAUGAAGAUAUAAAACAUAAUUGUGAA